RNAcentral lists this ribosomal RNA (526 nucleotides) under uncultured bacterium. Its description in RNAcentral is "bacterial SSU rRNA". It matches the Rfam family "Bacterial small subunit ribosomal RNA", at positions 524 to 1050 of the family's 1533-position model. The record is from RNAcentral.
UACGGAGGGUGCAAGCGUUAUUCGGAAUUACUGGGUUUAAAGGGUGCGUAGGCGGUUAAAUAAGUUGUCAGUGAAAGGCUACGGCUCAACUGUAGUAGUGCUGGCGAUACUGUAUAACUAAGGACAUGGGAGGGGUACCUGGAAUGUGUGGUGUAGCGGUGAAAUGCGUAGAUAUCACACAGAACACCGGAGGCAAAGGCGGGGUACUAGACCAUAGUUGACGCUGAGGCACGAAAGCGUGGGGAUCAAACAGGAUUAGAUACCCUGGUAGUCCACGCCCUAAACGAUGAUCACUAGAUAUUGGCGACAGACAGUCAGUGUCCAAGCGAAAGUGAUAAGUGAUCCACCUGGGGAAUACGGCCGCAAGGUUAAAACUCAAAGGAAUUGACGGGGGCCCGCACAAGCGGAGGAGCAUGUGGUUUAAUUCGAUGGUACGCGAGGAACCUUACCUGGGUUAGAACGUAUGAUAGAUGUAGCUGAAAGGUUACAGGCCUGCGAGGGAUAUCAUACGAGGUGCUGCAUGGUU